GUUGAUAGUAUGACCAUCUGUAGCGCAUCUAUAGAUGGACUAUCCAAAUAACGUGUGACCUUAGUUUGUACUAGUUCGCUAGCCUAGCUAUCGUGUACUAGCUAGAAGCACACCCAACAGUGGUUAACAUAACCCCCUAGACCAGAGCUAGCAGUGUGCUGACUGGCAUGAGGGUAGCUUACUUACGCACUGGAACAAAGCUACUUAUUCACACGAUACACGAGACCAAUAAACUUCUACAGGUUGCACGCAAAAAAAUACCAUCUGAGAAGCACGUUGCGGUUCGCAGACCACAUGGUGUCAGUGCACAUAAUCUGCAGCUGGAUGCUUCUCAAAUUGUUUGAAGUUUGAGCAUUCACUCUUAGUAAGGAGAAAUCGGGGGAAGUUGUAACAACAGUAUGUUGUUGUUACAGUGAUCCCAAAGACGGUACCGUAUGAAGAUAGGCAGAAACUGCUUCUCCAAUAGAAACCCUCGAUCACACUUGUAGGCGAUGUCAUGGCGACGUUGUCUAGAUAAACGCAUGAGAAGAAACAUGUCAUCGGGUUUAACGGUUUUCUCGAGCCAAAUCCGCACGUGCAGGCUCAAAUUAAAGACACUCCGAUAUAAAGUCAUUUUUGACAAAUGAAAACGUGUCAGUUUGUCACUUUUUCACCAGGUUAGAGGUAAUAACAUGUUCAACUAUGUAAGACAUUGCCUCCAAUCUAGGUUGUGCCUUUAGAUUGAGAAAAUUAACAACUAAGGAAUAUUUUUUUGCUUCUCUUAUUGACUUCUCAAAACCCGGCCUGGUCUGCUUGGUCUGUUUUGCAAGCGUUCCCAGAAGUCUCACAAUGUUGCUCCACUGGGUUUAGAAACUCUGUGGUGAUACUUUGUAGAGCGGCUCUCUAGUUGCCCUCAGAAUGUGUUUUUUCACCAUUCAAAAUGUGUUAUUACGGUGGGGAUUUGACAAUAUUGCAAUCCUGGUCUGAAAUUGGAUUUGUAUUUUUUGAUUUGCUCUGGUCUUGGUCUCAAACACUGCUGGGUAGUCUACAAAGUGUGACUCCCUUCCAGAGAACUUUGACACCAGGAAGAACCAGCUGUCGUCAGGGCUUCAUGGAGCUCAACAUGAUGGAGGCCAGUGAGAGGGAGGGAGAACACACAGACCUCAGGUAGUGUACUUUGGAGCCGGUCAGUCUGGAGUCAAGCAACAGGAUGCUGAACAUGGCCCUGCAGAGGCCCCUCACAACAGCCAGGACAUAGGUCAAAACUCCCAGGGAUCAGGAGAACGUCCUGGUCUACACCUACAGAGGAGAACACAGGAUCUCAACUCUCAAUUCCAACGAGGUGAAGGACUAGAAUCAACACUAUUUAGAGGUUUAUUCAACCAACAAGAUGAUCUUCCACUAGAGCAGGGUUUCCCAAACUCGGUCCUGGGGCCCUCCUUUAGUGCACAUUUUGUUUUUUGCCCAAGUACUACACAGCUGAUUCAAAUAAUAAAGGCUUGAUGAUGAGUUGGUUAUUUGAAUCAGCUGUGUAGUGCUAGGGCAAAAGACUAAAAGUGCACCCAAGUGGGGCACCAGGAACGAGUAUGGGAAACACGAGAGCCCUCAAACUUAACUCUGGACCUCGAAGCCAGUUUCAUUGCUUUGUUUCAUUGUUCCCCUCUAAUCAAGGACUGAUUUAGACCUGGGACACCAGGUGGGUGCAAUUAAUUAUCAGGUAGAACAGAAAACCAGCAGGCUGCGGACCUUGCAGGGCAAGAGUUGAAUACCCCUGCACUCUAAUGAGUGUAAUACCUUCUAAGUAUUUUUGAUACACACUAGCUGCUGUUGAGAAACAAACAUGGAUGUUUCUUCAUGUAUCUGAUCCAUGUUAAACCAACUCUGUUUUCAUAUAUUUUGUGUGUGUGUGUGUGUGUGUGUAUAUGAUAGACCUCCAAAGUAACACAUUACUGCAAGUUUAGAACUAGUGAGUGUCUAUCACAGGAUGCUGUCAUUGAUAUGCAGCUAUCGCCUCCAUAAACAUGGCAACGGGAUCCCCCUGUGAGAAUGCCCUGGUCACAUGAUAAGUGGGCAUAAUAGUACAUUGUGGUGUAUCAAGAUCACAAGUGUUCUGCAGUUUCUUUCCUAUUUAGUACACAGAUUUUCUCCAUGCACCUGGUAACACUACUGUAGGCGUGUGAGUUAUACUUUUUCAACUGAUCAAAAUAGUGAAGUAGCUAACAGUGAAUGUCCUGGGGCAUUGUUUAGUAAAGGAAUACAGCAAGAUUAGCAAGCUUGGCACCAUGAAGCUCGUAAAGGAAAUGUAGCAACCUAGCAGCAUGGUGAAAUUAACUGUUUUGAGUUGUCCACCCAUAUAGGUUACCACCAGUACAAUGUCCCUAAUAACUGGGCCAUAGUGUUACGUACUGUACACACAAGUUACUAUAAUAUAGUAUUGUAACUGUAUGUAGCAUUUGAUGUAUUGUUUCUCUCCUUCCCACUGUUUUAGACCAACCAAAAGGUCACAGUGUACAUGAACUAUGAACAGAGUAGGAACUGCAGCAAAGGUAUGAGCGUGUUUGCUGUGGAGGUCCUUGAUGGACCAAGAUGGUGAGAUACUAUACUCAUACAACACACUGUCACAUUGGAAUGAUGUUGAGCCUUCUCCUAUUCUUUCUUUGGUUCAUCAAAAUGUUAAAAAACGUUUAAAACAAAGUUGUGUUAAAUAGUCAGAUUUGACCUCAAUUGAGCUAGUUUUGACCUAACUCGUUUCAUGCUCUACUUCUCCCAUUGUAAAUCAACCAGACUUCCUCUCUCUCAAGAGGGAACAAAAGUAACGCAUUGCUUCAAGAAGCAUUCAAGUUUCUCCAUGGGGCAAGUGUUGUUAUUCACUUUGUAUGAUACAGUUGAAGUCAGAAGUUUGCAUACACCUCAGCCAAAUACAUUUAAACUCAGUUUUUCACAAUUCCUGACAUUUAAUCCUAGUAAA
Long non-coding RNA from Oncorhynchus kisutch (coho salmon), 2947 nucleotides. RefSeq lists it as uncharacterized. Lineage: Eukaryota; Metazoa; Chordata; Actinopteri; Salmoniformes; Salmonidae. The transcript is spliced from 3 exons. The record is from RefSeq and is a predicted model, not a curated record.